AUGGCGGAGAAGGUCUCGACGGCUCCGGCGGUGGUGGUCAUUCUUCCGGUGGCCGCUGACCGCAAUGCGACCCCGUUGGCAAGUUGGGCCCCAACCCCGAUGGCGAUUCGCACUCGACGACGGAUUGGGGAAAAGCUGUCCUGCCGCCACCCUCGCAGCAUGCGGAGGAGGCAGAGAAGGAUGCUGCGGACGCGGAGAAGGCGUCGGCGGUGGCUGAUUCGUUGGGGGAGGAAGUACCCCCCGGGCAUCCAUCUCCACCCAGGCCUGAGGAGCCAUAGCCAUUAUAUUUUCAGUUUCCUUCUAAAGAUGCUGCCAAAAAAUAUGCCCUUGUGA
This 333-nucleotide ribosomal RNA is filed under the name Triticum aestivum (bread wheat). Its description in RNAcentral is "partial small subunit ribosomal RNA". Lineage: Eukaryota; Viridiplantae; Streptophyta; Magnoliopsida; Poales; Poaceae. The record is from RNAcentral.